This 385-nucleotide RNase P RNA is filed under the name Desulfuromonadales bacterium GWC2_61_20. RNAcentral describes it as "RNase P RNA component class A". It matches the Rfam family "Bacterial RNase P class A". Rfam says of the family: Ribonuclease P (RNase P) is a ubiquitous endoribonuclease, found in archaea, bacteria and eukarya as well as chloroplasts and mitochondria. Its best characterised activity is the generation of mature 5'-ends of tRNAs by cleaving the 5'-leader elements of precursor-tRNAs. Lineage: Bacteria; Pseudomonadati; Thermodesulfobacteriota; Desulfuromonadia; Desulfuromonadales. The record is from RNAcentral. RNAcentral also lists the same sequence under 1 other name.
GGAGAAGGACAGACGAUCGCCGGCUCCUUUAGAGGGGCGGGAGGAAAGUCCGGGCUCCGCAGGGCAGGAUGGUCCUUAACGGGGACCGGGGGCGACCCCAGGGAAAGUGCCACAGAGAGAAGACCGCCUGCUAUCGCCUUGUGCGUUGGCAGGUAAGGGUGAAAGGGUGAGGUAAGAGCUCACCAGUGCCGGCGGCGACGUCGGCAGCUCGGUAAACCCCAUCCGGAGCAAGGCCUAAUAGAGGAGCGGUUGAGGACGGCCCGUCCGAGGCUCCCGGGUUGGCUGCUUGAGGCCGUCGGCAACGGCGGUCCUAGAGGAAUGAUCGUCACCCUGUCCCGGGUAACCGGGGGAGGGAACAGAACCCGGCUUACGACCUUCUCCGGCC